GAUGAAGAACGUAGCAAAAUGCGAUAAGUAAUGCGAAUUGCAGAAUUCAGUGAAUCAUCGAAUCUUUGAACGCACAUUGCGCCCCUUGGUAUCCCGAGGGGCAUGCCUGUUCGAGCGUCAUUUCACCACUCAAGCCUGGCUUGGUGUUGGGCGACGUCCUCUUUGGGGACGCGCCUCGAAACGCUCGGCGGCGUGGCACCGGCUUUAAGCGUAGCAGAAUCUUUCGCUUUGGAAGUCGGGGCCCCGUCUGCCGGAAGACCUGCUCGCAAGGUUGACCUCGGAUCAGGCAGGGAUACCCGCUGAACUUAAGCAUAUCAAUAAGCGGAGGA
This 329-nucleotide unclassified non-coding RNA is filed under the name soil metagenome. RNAcentral describes it as "partial contains 5.8S ribosomal RNA, internal transcribed spacer 2, and large subunit ribosomal RNA". The stretch from base 1 to 120 matches the Rfam family "5.8S ribosomal RNA", at positions 35 to 154 of the family's 154-position model. The record is from RNAcentral.